This 515-nucleotide ribosomal RNA is filed under the name uncultured bacterium. Its description in RNAcentral is "partial 16S ribosomal RNA". It matches the Rfam family "Bacterial small subunit ribosomal RNA", at positions 28 to 523 of the family's 1533-position model. The record is from RNAcentral.
GAUGAACGCUGGCGGCGUGCCUAAUACAUGCAAGUCGAGCGAAUGGAUUAAGAGCUUGCUCUUAUGAAGUUAGCGGCGGACGGGUGAGUAACACGUGGGUAACCUGCCCAUAAGACUGGGAUAACUCCGGGAAACCGGGACUAAUACCGGAUAACAUUUUGAACCGCAUGGUUCGAAAUUGAAAGGCGGCUUCGGCUGUCACUUAUGGAUGGACCCGCGUCGCAUUAGCUAGUUGGUGAGGUAACGGCUCACCAAGGCAACGAUGCGUAGCCGACCUGCGAGGGUGAUCGGCCACACUGGGACUGAGACACGGCCCAGACUCCGACGGGAGGCAGCAGUAGGGAAUCUUCCGCAAUGGACGAAAGUCUGACGGAGCAACGCCGCGUGAGUGAUGAAGGCUUUCGGGUCGUAAAACUCCGUUGUUAGGGAAGAACAAGUGCUAGUUGAAUAAGCUGGCACCUUGACGGUACCUAACCAGAAAGCCACGGCUAACUACGUGCCAGCCGCCGCAGUAA